Molecule: unclassified non-coding RNA, 282 nt
Filed under: Hevea brasiliensis (rubber tree)
Lineage: Eukaryota; Viridiplantae; Streptophyta; Magnoliopsida; Malpighiales; Euphorbiaceae
Source: RNAcentral
UAGCCAUUAAAGGGGCACAAAUCGACAAAAAACAAUAUCUCGAAGGCAAAUUUGAGAAACCCAAAAGACCAAACAACAAAAAAGGGUUACAGAGGAUGAACAGACCAAGCAGAAAAACAAGACGAAGGAAGAAAGAAAUGGCGAUCUCUCUCUUUGCGUUAAUUUAAUAAAACAAUGACAAAAAUGUUGAAAAUUGGUAUUGGUUUUUUUAUUGGUUCUGUCUCUGUAGAACCUUCUCUGUAUAACUCAGAAACUCUCCCUCUCACAGAAAGCCAAUAUUAG